CUCAAGUUGAUAACCACCGGCGUUAAGCGUGAUUAAAGCUUACAUAAGUUAGGGUUAAACCAAUACUUAGUAGUGAUAAGCUUGUUAUUGAGAAAACCAUAAACGAAAGUUACCCUAAUUAUAAUACUUGAAUACACGACAGCUGGGAAGACAAACUAGGAUUAGAUACCCUACUAUGCUCAGCCGUAAACAAUUAAUUUACACCAAUCAGCGCCAGGGAAUUACGAGCCAUGCUUAAAACCCAAAGGACUUGACGGUGUCCCACCCCCCUAGAGGAGCCUGUUCUAUAAUCGAUAAUCCCCGCUAUACCCUACCAUUCCUCGCCUCAGUCUGUAUACCUCCGUCGAAAGCCUACCCUGUGAACGUCCAGUAAGCCCAAUGACCCCCCUCAACACGUCAGGUCAAGGUGCAGCUCACGGAAUGGAAAGUAAUGGGCUACAAUUUCUAACAUAGAACAAACGAAAGGCCAUGUGAAACCAUAGUCACGAAGGUGGAUCUAGCAGUAAAAAGAAAAUAGAGUGUUCUUUUUAACCCGGCUCUGGGACGCGUACACACCGCCCGUCACCCUCUUCGAUAGCUUUACUUCACGUUUAUAACCCUUUAUCCGCACCUUAGAAGAGGCAAGUCGUAACACGGUAAGUGUACUGGAAAGUGCACUUGGAUUACAA
RNAcentral lists this ribosomal RNA (668 nucleotides) under Amolops mantzorum (Kangting sucker frog). RNAcentral's name for it is "partial 12S ribosomal RNA". It matches the Rfam family "Bacterial small subunit ribosomal RNA", at positions 608 to 1533 of the family's 1533-position model. Lineage: Eukaryota; Metazoa; Chordata; Amphibia; Anura; Ranidae. The record is from RNAcentral.